RNAcentral lists this transfer RNA (65 nucleotides) under Anaxarcha zhengi. Its description in RNAcentral is "tRNA-Tyr". Lineage: Eukaryota; Metazoa; Arthropoda; Insecta; Mantodea; Hymenopodidae. The record is from RNAcentral.
GGUAAAAUGUCCGAGUAUAGGUAAUAAAUUGUAAAUUUAUUAAGGAGGUUAUUUCUCUUUUACCA